AAGAGUCCUCAUUCAUAAGGGGGCAAGAGCUCCUUUCUGCAUCCUUUGGCUGGAGUUGGAAGGUGAACAGCACCAACUGUGUGAUGCUCAAUCCCAAGCAGCUGAAAGGAGUCCCUUUUCCUGGGGCACUUGCCCAGCUCAGCUGGUCAAAUCCAGCGUGAUGAAUUCCAUUCUGUGUGACAGACUUGCCAGGAGGUGAGGCACUGGCGGCUACGCAUGGGGAAACUUCUUUCCUGAGCAAGUCUUCCUGGCUGAGGUACUGCAACAGGAGUCCUGGCAUGGAAGCCAUGGUGGCAUGAGGAUUACAGCUCCUAAGAACCAGCUGGCCCCCAGAGCUGGGGUGUAGAGCCACCAUCCCCAGAGCCCACAGGGUGUUUCCAUGGUGUCAGCAUGGUCCAGGACAGCCCUGCCGUUCCCUCCUCUCCCUGCAGGUUUGGGACAAGUGUCUGGGGGGAACAGUAAGUACAGAGGCAACUGGGGCUCAGCCAGAGGCUGUUUAAUUGACCCAAGUGUCCCAGGCAAUCCCAGAACAUACCAGUUGCUUCGUCUCACACUGGAACCAGAGUACAGGAAACCACAGAGGUUUUAGAUCUCUACCACCAUCCUCAUCCUUUCCAUUCACCCCUUGUACCGGGUUUGCUGAUGUUACAACAAAGGGGGUGCUGGCAUUGCCAGCACUGUGCAGUUAUCUACAGCUGUAAAAUUAGGUCAAAUGCUUUGAAUGUGGUUACAGAACAGAGGUCAGGCACAUCUUACAGUGUCUAUUCAGAGAGAAGGAUAUUUUCAUUCCAAUCAUCAAUACAGGGAUACAGAUAGCACAGCAGGAGCAGAACAGAUGUCCAUAAGUCUUUCAACAAUAGGAAAAGGAAUUUAAAACAGACUCAUUGGAAUGUAACUUGAAAAACAGGUGAGUAGAGAAAAAGAGAAAACAAUUGCAAAUAAUUUCAGGUUUGCAGUUCUUUAAAAAUUAUAAUGGUUUAGGUAUGUGAUGAGCAGCUGCUUCCUCUGAAAAGCAGGCACAAUAUUAAAUCAAAGAAAAAGGAGAAUGUAUGUACAUAUGUAUGCAUUUUGAAAGCUUCCUGUUGAAUUAUGAAUACCUUCAAAUCAUAAAAUAUAGAGCCUGUCAGGGUUUCCAUAGAAGUUUGAACAUGCAGUUUCACUUGUUCACAGUGCAGUCUCUGUGUGCUAUCACAUUAAAACCAGAGAGAAGCAAGAAAGACACAGAAUCAUCUUGUAGGUAAAAUAUAAAAAACCAAAAAAACCUACAAACCUGAUUGACAGACUGAGUAAUUAUUAAUGGGAAAUUCAGAGAGAAGAGGCAUGAGGAAUAAAUUUCUCUAGGAAUCGGCUUUUAGCACACAAAAAUAAAUAGAUUAACUGCAAGAGGUGAAGUGCUUCCUUCCCUUGGAAAAGUGGGGAGGUUAAAAAUGCAAAGGUUCACCUGUAGCAGCCAGCAGCUGCACCAGUGCAGCAGAGAUGCUCCAAUGGGACACUGCUCUUGUGCUGACAGAGGCAGGAGCUUGCACAGCCCUCCAUUGGCACCACCAGAUUGAGGACUACUGGGAAUACCCAGUGGGGUGGAGGGCAUGACCCUGAGAACAGUACAUCAGGGGCUGACAAAGCGCCCAGAAGCUGUGGGUUUGGCUGUAGCCCUUCCAGUGCUUCCUGCACACCAUGUGCCCAGGAUACCUGGAGAAAGGAUAUGCCAGGAUCGGCUGUCGCAGCCGUGGAACUGGGGAGAUCUAUGGAAUGAAACACAGGGGCCUUGCAAGCGGCUGUGGA
Zonotrichia albicollis (white-throated sparrow) is the source of this 1782-nucleotide non-coding RNA. Lineage: Eukaryota; Metazoa; Chordata; Aves; Passeriformes; Passerellidae. The record is from RefSeq and is a predicted model, not a curated record.